Molecule: ribosomal RNA, 228 nt
Filed under: uncultured bacterium
Lineage: Bacteria
Description: partial 16S ribosomal RNA
Rfam family: Bacterial small subunit ribosomal RNA
Source: RNAcentral
UAGAGUUUGAUCCUGGCUCAGAUUGAACGCUGGCGGCAUGCCUAACACAUGCAAGUCGAACGGCAGCGCGGGCUUCGGCCUGGCGGCGAGUGGCGGACGGGUGAGGAAUACAUAGGAAUCUGCCCAGACGUGGGGGAUAACCCGGGGAAACCCGGACUAAUACCGCAUACGACGGUGACGUGAAAGCCGGGGACCUUCGGGCCUGGCGCGAUUGUAUGACCCUAUGUC